AUACGUAGGGAGCGAGCGUUGUCCGGAAUUACUGGGUGUAAAGGGUGCGUAGGCGGGACUGCAAGUCAGAUGUGAAAUGCCGGGGCUCAACCCCGGAGCUGCGUUUGAAACUGUGGUUCUUGAGUGAGGUAGAGGUAAGCGGAAUUCCUAGUGUAGCGGUGAAAUGCGUAGAUAUUAGGAGGAACAUCGGUGGCGAAGGCGGCUUACUGGGCCUUUACUGACGCUGAGGCACGAAAGCGUGGGGAGCAAACAGGAUUAGAUACCCUGGUAGUCCACGCUGUAAACGAUGAUGACUAGGUGUGGGGGGACUGAACCCUUCCGUGCCGCAGUUAACACAAUAAGUCAUCCACCUGGGGAGUACGGCCGCAAGGUUGAAACUCAAAUGAAUUGACGGGG
This 396-nucleotide ribosomal RNA is filed under the name uncultured bacterium. RNAcentral describes it as "partial 16S ribosomal RNA". It matches the Rfam family "Bacterial small subunit ribosomal RNA", at positions 523 to 918 of the family's 1533-position model. The record is from RNAcentral.